CUUGUCUCCUAAAUAGAGACUGGUAUGAACGGCUAAAUGAGGAUUAAACUGUCUCUUGUAAUUAACCUAUGAAACUGAUCUUGUAGUACAAAAGCUACAAUAUAAACACUAGACGAGAAGACCCUGUGGAGCUUUAAAACCAAAACCAAAUACAUGCCCCCUUGGUUUUUAGUUGGGGCAACUUCGGAGCAUAAACAAACCUCCGACAAACCACAAGUCAAGACAAACAAGUCAAAACCAGCACUUGACCCAAUAGUCUAACCUAGACCAUUUGACCAAUGAACCAAGUUACCCCAGGGAUAACAGCGCUAUCCUCUUUUAGAGUCCCUAUCGACAAGAGGGCUUACGACCUCGAUGUUGGAUCAGGACACCCCAAUAAUGCAGCCGUUAUUAAAGGUUCGUUUGUU
This 407-nucleotide ribosomal RNA is filed under the name Mesalina olivieri. Its description in RNAcentral is "partial 16S ribosomal RNA". It matches the Rfam family "Bacterial large subunit ribosomal RNA", at positions 1968 to 2581 of the family's 2925-position model. Lineage: Eukaryota; Metazoa; Chordata; Lepidosauria; Squamata; Lacertidae. The record is from RNAcentral.